UAAAACCAUAAUGAAAUCAGUAAGCCUUAUUAUUUGGUUAAUGCAAUUUAAAUAUGUACAAUGAUCUAAUAUACCAGACAUGUAUUUGUGUUUACAUUUAAUAUGAUGCAAUAGGUAACUGCUGACAAAAUAUUUGAUUUAUGACCAGGAACGCUUAUAAUGAACUCCACUGUAAAUCAAGGAUUAAUAGUAAACAGAGACCAGGUUCAGGAAACAAAAUAAAAACGCACAAAAUGAGCUUCAAAGCCAAACUGAAAAAUACUUUAAAAAGUUUUCGGUUCAGCUUUGAAGCUUGUUUUGUGUUUUUAGUCAAGGAUUACUUACACACAUGCAGUGUCCACUAAUAGUUGGGAUAAAAAUAAAACCAUGAAUUUCUUACAUUUUUAAUAAUGAAAAAUUCUUAUAAAUAUAAAAUAUGGUGCUUUAGGGCCUAAGCAAAAGAUCUACAUUUUUAUAGUAAUGUACUUUAUGUUUAUGUUUAUUUUUAGUUUAUUAAUAAAG
RNAcentral lists this long non-coding RNA (501 nucleotides) under Androctonus crassicauda. Lineage: Eukaryota; Metazoa; Arthropoda; Arachnida; Scorpiones; Buthidae. The record is from RNAcentral.